Molecule: unclassified non-coding RNA, 1564 nt
Filed under: Pomacea canaliculata
Lineage: Eukaryota; Metazoa; Mollusca; Gastropoda; Architaenioglossa; Ampullariidae
Description: uncharacterized LOC112574113, transcript variant X3
Source: RNAcentral
AUCAUUAGAAUUAACAGAUCUAUGAGGCACAUCAGUCACCUGCAGACUUCACAGAAGUUUCCGUCGGGGCUCGAAGUGUUGUGCACUCUUAUUUAGGACUCUUGUGUGGUUGUUAAACAAACCUCAUUUUCUCUACAAAGAAUGUUAUUUUCUAGUGAUGAAGAGAAAUGUUAUAUUACUAUGAUUGAAAAAAGAACUUCCAAAUAUGAGGAAAAGGAUAAUUUUUCGGACAUCGUUCUGGUGGUAGAAAACAAAAAGCUUCAUGUAAAUAAAACUUUGCUAAUGAUGCAUUCACCUGUGUUCAUGACCAUGUUCACGGCCAGGUUCAUUGAAAAGGAUUUAUCAGAGAUUCCACUUCCAGGAAAGAAAGUGAAUUUAAUGGUGGAGCUAUUGGACCAAAUCCAUCCCGGGUACACUAAUGAAAAAUUUCACGCUGAAACUCUACGUGAACUUCUUCAACUCGCCGAUGAGUAUGGUGUGCAACAGGUCUUUCACAACUGCCUAGCCCACUUCGACAGACGCAUAAAUUGCAAGCAUCAUGCCAUGAAGAUUGAUGAAAUUUUACUCUUCCUUGGGAUAGUCGAAGAGUGGAGCAACGAAUACGAUCAACUAAGUUCGUUUAGAUCGGCUCUAAUUGAAAGGGCAAGUAAAGUAGGAACGUGUCAUUUGAAAAAAAGCAAAUAUUUUUCUUCUGUAUCUACUACAGCGCAAAGAGACAUCCUCAUGUGUCGUCUUGAGACAGCCGAAAGGAAAUAUAAACUAAAGAUCUAGAGUUAAACAAUUGACUAGUAUGAUUGAAACUACUGAUGGCUUUUCAUUGUAAUCCUUUGUGAUGAGCCUUUGUGUCAGACACAUCUUAUAAACACCCACAUAAGAUUUUCUGUGAAACAUUUAGGACGAUUCAGAGUUCUGUGAGUCAAUCUCAGGAUUCAUUACGAUUACUUUUGUAACAAAAGCAUAAAAUGUAUCGAUAGAUCAUUACUAAUAUUCAUCAAUUGGAAUAGUUUGCGCUGUUUAUAUGUGAGAUUAGUUUGAUGUUACACGGGGUACAAUUAAUCUCAUUAGACUUCAUGCCAGCAGUCUACACAAAAGUUAUAUCGGACAUUCCUAUAUUGAACGAUAGCACAUGUUAGACGAUAUUUUAUAUUAACUGAAACUAUUUUGAUAGUAAAUAUAUUUUUAAAUUUCAUCUAGAGAUUCUGUGUAUCGUCAGUUUGCAGAUAAACAGAUUUUGGUCAGGUUACAUCCAAGGAACCUACACUUGCACAGCACACUACAGUUAGUAACUCAAUUUCUAGCCAAAUACUUUUUUACUAUUAUUUUUGCCAGACUGUCUGCUACUCAGUAUUUAGUAGCAUUGCGUGUUCAAAUUGCCAACUAUUAUGUUGCACUAACACUAAAUCUUACGGAAGACAUCGUUUAUAUGAGUAGUUUGUGUAGUGGAAGUGAUCAAAGCUAUGUGUAACUAUGUCUGAGAGUAAUAUACCGCAAGUAACCCAUAAGUAAGUUUACAUUUAAUUUCAUUCUCAUCUAUUCUAAUAGCAAAUAAAGGUGUGUACUUAAC